Molecule: long non-coding RNA, 4977 nt
Organism: Equus quagga
Lineage: Eukaryota; Metazoa; Chordata; Mammalia; Perissodactyla; Equidae
Exons: 3
Source: RefSeq, a predicted model, not a curated record
UCUCCACGUUACCCAGUACACUACCUGGCAGUAAUAGGCGUCAGUGGCUGUUAUGUGAGAGAAAUUGCAGGCGAGCUUGAUGCUGUAGGACAGAGAUUUAUUUCUCGGGUGGUUUCUUCCAAUGAUCGGAGAGGCUUGUCUCAGACCAGGUUGAGAACGACUCCUCCUGUGCACACAGGUGUGCUUACACAACUGUGGUUGUAUUUUCAUAUUCAGUGAAAAACAAAAUACAGGGUAAAGUACUGGACUGAAUUCAAUAAAACUUUUAAAUAAGUGUGAUUUUAUUAUAAUAUCUUCUACAUAAAAGAGAAAUAGUACAGUACAUAUAUGUCCCUGGACACUGGUUGGUGUGCAUAAGGAUUCAGGGAGCCCCUUAAAUAACUACUAUGUGUCCCCCACCCCACGAAUCAUACUUUGGGGACAUUAUCUGAGAAUAUUAAUUUUAGUAAGUUAUUCACUUUUUUAACUUUUGAUUUAAGAUUUCAUUAAUAAAAUCCAGAUAUCAUGUCACUGACAUCUCUUAAAAAAUAGGGGUAUCUUGUAGGUUGUGGGUGUUUUGGGAUUGACUACAGCGAUAGCUGUUGUCCUCUUCUUGCCUCUAGUUCCUUGCCUCAUCCAAGCCGUUCCACAUGAUACUCAGUUUCCUAAAAUACCGCUUUCAAGUGUUGGCAUCUGUGGGAUAAUGGGCAGCAUACUGGUGGUAAAAUCAGGACAUGCAGAUUUGACUCCCAGCGUUGCUUCUUAGUUCUGUGUUUUCUUUCAUACGUUUAUAUAAGACCAUAUUGGAAACAUGGUCUCAAUUUUAUUAUCAAAAUGUAAAUUCAAGAAAAGACCUCAAGGCUCCCUUUAAUGGCCGCUGAAAUUAUUGCAAAUUCAAAUGUCUAGGCCAGUUCAGAGCAUCAGAUCCAAGUUCUGCUUUUUUUUCAAACUGAAAUUGUAUGCCUGUCUUCCUAAUUUCCCUUUCUUCUAUCCCCUAAUUUUGUAACUUUUGCCCCAUUGAGAAUCACAAGCCAAUCUGGUAAAGUCUGUACUUAGCCUGGCAUUCCAGAGCCGCCUUGUUUUUGUCUGAGGAAGAUUCACCCUGAGCUAGCAUCUGUGCCAGUCUUGCUCUGUUUUGUUUGUGGGUCACCACCACAGCAUGGCUGACAAGUGGUGUGGGCCUGUGCCCAGGAUCCAAACCUGUGAAGCCCGGGCCACUGAAGCGAAGUGCGCUGAACUUAACCACUAAGCCACGGAGCCUGCCCCUCCAGAGCCUUCUUAUCAUAGUCUCGACACAUUACCUUUCCAGCGUUAAAGUCCUGUCCUCUGCAGGACGGAUCCUCUCUUCCCCCUGGAAUAAGCUUUUUCUUUCUUGUCCUUGAACACACCCACGGAGUGAAUGAAAUCUUGCUGUUGUGCUGUUGAUCAUGCUCCUUCCCUUUCUUAGAAGACGUUCCUAUUUUAUACACCAGUACUUUGAAGAUCAGAACACUAAAAAGUUAGAAUGACUUUACCGUGUUCACUCAGAACUCAGAAGCAAAAAUGUAAUUAAGUCUCACUUUCUGGCAUCAGUAUUUUAACCCAGUUUGUCUUAAAGCACUCAUUCUCCAUUGUAAAAUUUGAUUUUUAAUCCCAUGGGCAAAAACCCUUCCGUUAGAUUUGAGUUGAAGACUUGAUAAGGCAAGUCCAGUGAGACGCAGUUGUUCCAAAUCACUAGUCUCUUCCAAAUAGGAGUUGACCUCCUCCCAGCAUUUCGUAUUUCCUGUAAUAUUUAAACUUUUUAGAUUUAUGCAAUCAAGCCUUGACAAGUAUCUCUUUCCCUCUGAAAUCACACAAAAAUCUCGUUUAUAUUUGCACAAUAUUAUAGUGUCCUUGAACUGGCUUAUGGCAGAUAUAAGUAGUUGCUGCCUAAAAGUUUUUCCUAGAAUACGGAAUAUGGAUCAUGUUAAUCUCAGAAGCUUUGGGAUGUAUGCUAAUAUCUACAUUUCCUGUAAGAACUUUGUUUUAGAUGUAAGCUGCAUUUGAAAAGCCAUUUGACAAUGUUUGAGUAUCUACGCAGGCAGGCUCUGAAGGAAGGCAGAAAUGUGUCCAUGUCAUCUUUCCCUAGUUCCAAAAUAUCAAAAGAUAUUCAUUGUGUGCCCACUAUGCCCCAGGCACUGUGUUUAGAAUUGGCCACCGAACGUACGACAAGCGAUUCUCUCAAGAAGUUUACUGAGUGUGAACAGACUUGUGAGAAGCAAAAGGGACUUUUCCUGGGGCCAGUGGGCGGGCUUCAGGGAGUCUAAACCCUUUUCAAAUUAUCCAGGGUAUUUUGCGUGUAAGCCCAUUUGGGGCAGGGGUUGGGGAUGUGAAGAAGCUUCCUAGCUCUUAGAUUUUCAAGGGGCUUGGGUUCCAAAAACCUCCUCCCUCUGGACUAGCGGAAAGAGAAGGAGCUUUGAAGCCAUGCAGCGAUUAGUUUCUGUCCUGGCCUUGCUGUGAUUAGAAGCAGGUUAUCUAGGAACAUUGGAGAUAGAAUAUCUACCUGGAAGGACCAUGGUCAGGCUAGUAUUUAUGUCAAGCUCCUUACACAGUAUGUGGAAGGUCCUCAGAGGUUACUCAAGAUGUCGUAUUACUCUAAUGGAAGUGUAUUCCAGAUUUAAACCAUGGUGGCAGGAGAGCCUGAGUCUGCCUGGGUAGACGCGGACAGUUUCAGCAAAGAGGCCACAUUUGAGCUGAGCCUUGAAGAGCUUGUCAGGUGGACUAGGAUAAAAGACAGUUCAGUUUUAGAAAGCAAACAGCACUUGCAAAGACAUAGAGAUGAGAACUACAUGUAGGUUUUAGAGAGAGGAACGGGGAGGCAAUGUAUAAAAUAGGCCAAACCCGUAUACCCAGAUAAUAGGAGGGAACUCCCAAAGGGAGAGCUGCUCCCAUGCUGGGCGUGAGCUGACUGUGGAAUUGGCCUGUGCCUUCCUGAAUGUUUUGGUGAGGGGUGUUUUGAUGUUUCAUUAUUAUGAUAUAGUUUACCUUUACAAUAUAUGGUUUAGUUGGUAUGAAUGAUCUUUUUAAAAUCAGAUUCCAGCCAUGUGGUCAUUGUUCUUAAGUCUGGUCAUUUUACUUUAUCCUGUAUAUAUAAAGUAGUACUCUCUCUGUAUAGUUCUUAGAUGGUUAGAUUAGUGUUUUUCAUUGGCUCUGUUAAAAGUGCCCUGUAAAAAAAUUACAUUAAAAAAGUCUUUAAGCCCUAGGCAAAGUUCAAUGGUAGGCCUCUUGCUUGGUUUGGAUUCCUCAGCCAAUUUGAGUUUUCCGUGAGAUGACUCUGAGAGAUUUUGAGACUGCACAUUUGGGACCAGAACCAAAGUGAGAAAGGAAAGGCGUUCUAUAUCCCAUGCUACAAAAGUGUGGAGAAUAGCUUUUUUGGACACCUUCUCCCACAUUGUGUACAGUGGAUUUACUUGUAACCCAUAGACCCUUUAAUGUUGAAAGAGACGCUAAAACUGUUUAGAAAUGAAGGAACUUGUUACAGGUUUUACAGUGAGCAGUGGGCAGAGCUGAGUUUGACCCAAGUUUUCAAAGCAGAUGCUUUUUCUAGGACAUGGUAUUGCCUAGGCCAACAAUGGCAUUCUUAUUAUUUAGGGGAAAAGUUAAUAAAGAAAAAAAUGGGGCAUAAAUAUCCUGAAAACUAUAGAAAAAUUCUUUGUUGGUAUAGAUUUUUGGUUGCAGGCUACUUCCAAAGUAGCUUAAGUGAAGAAGGAAUGUAUUACAGUGGAGUGCUGCCCCUGAGCUGCUUGAAGGACCAGAACCAAGAAAUGGAGAGCUGUGCGCGCUGAGUAUUUAUUGAAUGCCCACUGUGCACCAGGCGUUGUCCUACACCCUGAAGACUUACGACUCCUCAUGGAGCUGUUCUCUUGGCAAGAGUUGGAGAAUACCUAAUAAACAAAUGGUCGUCCACCACAACCAGAGCUGCCUUAAAGCCCGGGGAUGAUGGAAUCAAGGAAGUGAUUACAAAACCCUGCGAGUGUUGAGUUGGUGCCAUGGCGUUUGUGCUUAAUGAACUCUCUUACUUCUCAGUACAGCCCAGUGAGCAGAUGCUGUUUAGGUGAGGAAACAGAUGCAGAGUUGGCCUUCAGCUUGGUGGGGGCACUGGGAGCAAUAGGCCUCCAAUAGUGGGUCAUACUGUGCAGAGCUUUCCCCCUUGAAGGUGCGUCAGUAUGGGCGAGGUGGGAGUAGCAACCAUUAAAUGGUCCGCAUCACGUGGCAGAAAACUGUGGAUGGAAUAAAUUGGAUGUGACAGAGUAAAGGUGUAACGUAACUUACCUUUUCUCCUUUUUUGCUUCCAUACACUUUGUAUCUACCUCUAUUAUAAUUCACGAUAUCAUAUUACAAUUCGUAUUUAUUUUUCUGUUUCUGUUGCUAGGUUAUGAGAUCUUCAGUAGCCAGAGAUCCAGAUUCAGAGGUUCAGAGAUGCAGUGGCCUGGAUCUGUCUUGUCUUUAUACUUUUGGUACCUAGCCAGUGGCCACAUGAUAGGUGCUUUGUAAAUCUUGUUAAAUAAAUUUAUCACUGUGAUAUGCUUACAACGUAUGUUUAGCAGACAACGCAAAUAACCGUGUUUGUAUAAUUCUGUAAACCUGGUUUAUAUAAUAAACUGCAAAAAAUGUCACCAGGGCAUUUGCAUUGUAUUCUCAGACUAAUUCAAGCCCAGUUUUUACAGACGAGGAAACUGAACUUGCGCAAGGUCACAUGAGUAGUAAGUGGCAGAACUAUUACAACUAGCAAACCUGUGCUCAUAGUGCUUAGGUUUCGUGCCUCUUUCAGUGCCGGUGUCGGCACCAGCAGCAGCAUCUUUCCUUCCUCACUCGGGGGAGAGACUGACUGGCAGAACCUUUGAAAUAAGUGGUGGCCUGACACUGUAGAAUCUAAGUUUUAUGCUGGCUGUCAACUAUGUAUUUGUCAGCCUUUUGCCUUAAAUAUACUUGAGUAUGGAUUGGACAUGUUAGUGCCCGUGUCUGUUAACAUGGAAUUGU